AAGGGAGACCUAAUUCCGGUAGGAGACGAAAAAAAAGUAGUCCCAACCAAGAAUCAAUCCCAAAAGGUCGGAACGAGGUAUGAGGCUUUCAAACUAGGUUCUGGGUUCAUAAAAGACCUGAAUCAGGAACAAGGGCUAUUAGCUCAGGUGGUUAGAGCGCACCCCUGAUAAGGGUGAGGUCCCUGGUUCGAGUCCAGGAUGGCCCACCUGCACAGGUGGCAAAAACAAGAGAAGCUCCGAAUCAGCACCUUAUCUUAUAUACAUAUAUAAGAGAGAGUGCUGGCUCUGAGUACAGAGUCCAGAGGAACCUUGAAAACUGCAUAGAGCUAGGUGAAAAAGCCAAAAAAGAAGACCGCAA
RNAcentral lists this transfer RNA (358 nucleotides) under uncultured Microcystis sp. RNAcentral describes it as "partial 16S-23S ribosomal RNA intergenic spacer". The stretch from base 133 to 206 matches the Rfam family "tRNA". The record is from RNAcentral. Lineage: Bacteria; Bacillati; Cyanobacteriota; Cyanophyceae; Chroococcales; Microcystaceae.